GUCUCACAGGGCUCUGCUCUCUUGCACAGCAGUGCUGGCUGUCUCUGCUACCCUGGGCUGCACAUCAGGGAUGCUCUAACACCUCACAGUUGCAAUUACCUCUGCUUCAGCCUUGGCCCUUUGGAUGAGGACCCCAUAAAGGCUGACCGAGGCUCAGCUGGGGAUGCUGCUCACCACUUGAUGAGACAGUCACUGUUUUCAAGGCUUCAGAACUGUACAAUUCCUUGACAACCUCUUCUUCCACCAUUGCAUACCAGUGCACAAACGUGUGGAUGUGUUCUUGCUCUCUCUCAUGUGGACUGAAGGAGGACACAAAUCCAGAAAUCAGGCUUGCUAUGUGAUAGAAAUGGUCUCAAUGUGGUGAAGAUCUCCAAGCAGCAAAUAUGCACUGUAUUUGUAGGGAUGAUAAGGCAUAGAAAAAUGUGUGCUGGUGUGUCAAAUAAAAUUUUUCUGCUUGUUUUAAGUGAAGGAGAUCUCUUGUGUUAGAGGCCGGAUACCUAAAAUCCAAAGUUAAUUUCUUGACACCCUUAUUUUAACUUCCAGUCACUACAGCAUUGUCUCAGUCUCGGGAGAAAAAUACUUGCCACUGAACUUUGGCUGGGAUUGUGGUAAGAGCCUUGCUAAUACACAACAAGCAUUUAGUAGAUCUAGUUCUUGCUAACUUCUUGUGUGUGCAAAGAAUGAUGAUUGUUAUUUUUCAUUAAAGCAGCUUGCUGGCACAUAAGCUCUCCUAUCCCACCAAAGGCUACAAGUUAAUUGAAGUUUGAUUAUAGGUUUUCAUUGAGAAGGAAUGUUAGACAACAGCAGGCAGUUGAAAACAAGGAGCUGGCACUGUGAACCCGAGGUGUCCCACUAGCAGGGAAGAGCUGUGGCCCUGGCUGUGACCCUUGCAGCACAGGGACUCACUGCAGAGGAGAAAGUCAUCGUCUUCUUCCCAUGGUCUGGCUGUGGUAGGGCAGGUUUGCUCCACAGGCUCCAGACCAAGGCUGGCCAGGCUAUAAACAGGAACCCACUGCAGCUGGGAGUAAAUUGUCAAAGGAAGGAAUGUUCAAGGAAACCAUGCCACACUCUUGCUGGGUUUUUUUGCAAUACUUUAAUACAGCAUUAAAAUGCUAGAAUACUAGAGGAAAGCUGUAUACUAUCCAGCAAAUAAGGCACAUGUCGGAAUGCCAUUUUAUGGACAAUCCACAACAGAGGUUUUACAGUCUUGUUAGCAACACAGUCACCAGAUGAGCAAGCUGUCAUCUUGAUUGCUGAAACAGAACUGGUACCUCUGAGGCCUUUGUCCAUAGGUUUUGUUUGUUUUAGCUGUACAAGUUUAUUAACAGUUACAGAAAAAGAAAUUACACAAUUUGCCAACUGAAUCUGACAAGGUCAGUGGGUACAGCUAAACAAAUGUAAUAAUCAUUAGGUUAAUUUUUUUUAAAGCUGAAGAAAUUCAUAAAAUAGUGUUAGUUUUAGCACUAUUACACAAUGCAGUGAGUGCUGUACUAAAUAACCUUUUAAAGGAAACAAGAAUCCAGUACAGGCCUGGGCAGACCUCCCAUUUUAGCAUGGUAAAAUAUCAAAUUAAAAACUCAAUCCUUCAUAAUAUAAUCAAACUACAUGAAAUGUAAAGUGUAAAAUGCUUCGAAUACGUGCACAUGCAUAUUCUAUAUUGCUAUGAGUUCUAAUUAAAAUAAACAUAAACCCCUACAAUAAUCUACUUCAAUCCUUUUCUCUUACAUCCUUUGAUUGAUAUUAUUGCUGUAGAUGAUACUGCAUAGCUGAGCUCACAGUCUGCAAAGAGUUGUGAAAGUCAAGUUAAACAGCGUCCCAACCAACUUUCUUCCCCCCAGUUAUGGGGAAGGGAAGAGGCACCACUUGGAACCCACCACUUGUGCUUCAGAGUUUCUGAAAGCCGAGUCUCCACGGUGCUUUCAACAUCUUCUGUGUCUCUCACAAGGCCAUAAAGUGACAGUAUACUGUUAUUUGCUCCUCACUUGCUACAUGUCUAGUGAUAGCUUUUCUCCUUCCCCAAAUACACAUAAAUAAACUGUAUAAGCAUUUUCAUAUAAGUCUAAGCACUUGAAUAAUACACUGGUUACUUAAUACUGAUAUUUUCAUCCAAGGAUAACAAAAACAAUAUGGCUUAAAGAAUUGCAAGGUUUUUUGUCAGAAUUAUGUACCAACUUUCAUAUAAUAUUUUAUGUAGACAAUAUUUCCUUCUUAAUGUAGUUCUGUUGCAUACUUUAUACAGACAAAAGCAUUGUAAAAAAAAAAAAAAGUAAAUUAUUUCCAUAAAUAUUUUCUUGAGGA
Long non-coding RNA from Parus major (Great Tit), 2298 nucleotides. RefSeq lists it as uncharacterized. The record is from RefSeq and is a predicted model, not a curated record. The transcript has 2 exons. NCBI's taxonomy places the organism in Eukaryota, Metazoa, Chordata, Aves, Passeriformes, Paridae.